AGUGAACGCUGGCGGUAGGCCUAACACAUGCAAGUCGAACGGCAGCACAGUAAGAGCUUGCUCUUACGGGUGGCGAGUGGCGGACGGGUGAGGAAUACAUCGGAAUCUACUUUUUCGUGGGGGAUAACGUAGGGAAACUUACGCUAAUACCGCAUACGACCUACGGGUGAAAGCAGGGGAUCUUCGGACCUUGCGCGAUUGAAUGAGCCGAUGUCGGAUUAGCUAGUUGGCGGGGUAAAGGCCCACCAAGGCGACGAUCCGUAGCUGGUCUGAGAGGAUGAGCAGCCACACUGGAACGGGGACACGGUCCAGACUCCUACGGGAGGGAGCAGUGGGGAAUAUUGGACAAUGGGCGCAAGCCUGAUCCAGCCAUACCGCGUGGGUGAAGAAGGCCUUCGGGUUGUAAAGCCCUUUUGUUGGGAAAGAAAAGCAGCAGGUUAAUACCCCGCUGUUCUGACGGUACCCAAAGAAUAAGCACCGGCUAACUUCCUGC
Molecule: ribosomal RNA, 493 nt
Filed under: uncultured bacterium
Lineage: Bacteria
Description: partial 16S ribosomal RNA
Rfam family: Bacterial small subunit ribosomal RNA
Source: RNAcentral